Non-coding RNA from Peniophora sp. CONT, 93 nucleotides. NCBI's taxonomy places the organism in Eukaryota, Fungi, Basidiomycota, Agaricomycetes, Russulales, Peniophoraceae. The record is from the annotation of a GenBank genome assembly.
CCUUCGGUAGCUCAGUGGAAGAGCGCGGGUUAUAAUGUAAAGAUUAGAUGUGUGUUCAUCCCGAGGUCGCUGGAUCGAAACCAGCUCGAAGGA